RNAcentral lists this unclassified non-coding RNA (350 nucleotides) under Athalia rosae (coleseed sawfly). Its description in RNAcentral is "misc RNA ENSAEAG00005007116.1". Lineage: Eukaryota; Metazoa; Arthropoda; Insecta; Hymenoptera; Athaliidae. The record is from RNAcentral.
CGACUCUGGAAUUGAAAACGUCCGCUGAUUUUUUCAGAGAUGGAAAACUCAUUCUGCGUUGUUUCGCUGCAAUAUCCACAGUUUACACAGCCUCGGCUGAGUUGGUUGUCACCGAAGAUACGCCGCUCCACGCAUCAAUCAGCGGCGACGCCUCGCCUCACCUUCACCCAUCGAGCGGUUCCGGGGGGAGGAUUUUUUCGGAAAUUGGUGUGCUCUCGCUAUGUCUGGUAAUAGCAAGAUCCUGGAGCAGGUAGCUCCUCAAUUCGGAGGACGUCGUCGCCUCCGACCUCAUCGCGUCGUCCGUGUCAACCUAAGUAGCUAGGGCUUCCAGUUGUGUAUGUUACUAUAAA